GACGAACGCUGGCGGCGUGCUUAACACAUGCAAGUCGAACGAAGAGCGAUGGAAGCUUGCUUCUAUCAAUCUUAGUGGCGAGCGGGUGAGUAACGCGUAAUCAACCUGCCCUUCAGAGGGGGACAACAGUUGGAAACGACUGCUAAUACCGCAUACGAUCUAAACUCGGCAUCGAGGAUAGAUGAAAGGUGGCCUCUACAUGUAAGCUAUCACUGAAGGAGGGGAUUGCGUCUGAUUAGCUAGUUGGAGGGGUAACGGCCCACCAAGGCGAUGAUCAGUAGCCGGUCUGAGAGGAUGAACGGCCACAGUGGGACUGAGACACGGCCCAGACUCCUACGGGAGGCAGCAGUGGGGAAUCUUCCGCAAUGGACGAAAGUCUGACGGAGCAACGCCGCGUGAGUGAUGACGGCCUUCGGGUUGUAAAGCUCUGUUAAUCGGGACGAAAGGCCUUCUUGCGAAUAGUGAGAAGGAUUGACGGUACCGGAAUAGAAAGCCACGGCUAACUACGUG
Molecule: ribosomal RNA, 510 nt
Filed under: uncultured bacterium
Lineage: Bacteria
Description: partial 16S ribosomal RNA
Rfam family: Bacterial small subunit ribosomal RNA
Source: RNAcentral